RNAcentral lists this ribosomal RNA (385 nucleotides) under uncultured bacterium. RNAcentral's name for it is "bacterial SSU rRNA". It matches the Rfam family "Bacterial small subunit ribosomal RNA", at positions 103 to 507 of the family's 1533-position model. The record is from RNAcentral.
CGGGUGAGUAACGCGUGGGUAACCUGCCUCAUACAGGGGGAUAACAGUUAGAAAUGACUGCUAAUACCGCAUAAGCGCACGGAACCGCAUGGUUUUGUGUGAAAACUCCGGUGGUAUGAGAUGGACCCGCGUCUGAUUAGCUAGUUGGCGGGGUAACGGCCCACCAAGGCGACGAUCAGUAGCCGACCUGAGAGGGUGGCCGGCCACAUUGGGACUGAGACACGGCCCAAACUCCUACGGGAGGCAGCAGUGGGGAAUAUUGCACAAUGGGGGAAACCCUGAUGCAGCAACGCCGCGUGAGUGAAGAAGUAUUUCGGUAUGUAAAGCUCUAUCAGCAGGGAAGAAAAAGACGGUACCUGACUAAGAAGCCCCGGCUAACUACGUG